CGUGGACGGAACGUGGCAGGCUGCGGAGGGCACACCCAUCCCUCAUACGCGGUUCAACACAUGAUCCCAGAGCUU
RNAcentral lists this small nucleolar RNA (75 nucleotides) under Leishmania major strain Friedlin. Its description in RNAcentral is "Leishmania major h/ACA-like snoRNA". It matches the Rfam family "Trypanosomatid snoRNA TB10cs1H3". Lineage: Eukaryota; Euglenozoa; Kinetoplastea; Trypanosomatida; Trypanosomatidae. The record is from RNAcentral.